RNAcentral lists this ribosomal RNA (797 nucleotides) under uncultured bacterium. Its description in RNAcentral is "bacterial SSU rRNA". It matches the Rfam family "Bacterial small subunit ribosomal RNA", at positions 56 to 873 of the family's 1533-position model. The record is from RNAcentral.
UGCAAGUCGAACGAUGAAGAGCAGCUUGCUGCUUGGAUUAGUGGCGCACGGGUGAGUAAUAUAUAGGUAAUGUGCCUCUUAGUCUGGGAUAGCCAUUGGAAACGAUGAUUAAUACUGGAUACUCCUUCUAACUCUAAUGUUAGUCGGGAAAGUUUUUCGCUAAGAGAUCAGCCUAUAUCCCAUCAGUUAGUUGGUAAGGUAACGGCUUACCAAGGCAAUGACGGGUAGCGGGUUUGAGAGGAUGAUCCGCCACACUGGUACUGAGACACGGACCAGACUCCUACGGGAGGCAGCAGUGAGGAAUAUUGCACAAUGGGGGAAACCCUGAUGCAGCAACGCCGCGUGGAGGAUGACGCAUUUCGGUGUGUAAACUCCUUUUAUAUGUCAAGAAAAUGACGGUAGCAUAUGAAUAAGCACCGGCUAACUCCGUGCCAGCAGCCGCGGUAAUACGGAGGGUGCAAGCGUUACUCGGAAUCACUGGGCGUAAAGGACGCGUAGGCGGAUUGGAAAGUCAGAUGUGAAAUCCUACAGCUUAACUGUAGAACUGCAUUUGAAACUUCUAAUCUAGAGUAUGGGAGGGGGAGAUGGAAUUAGUGGUGUAGGGGUAAAAUCCGUAGAUAUCACUAGGAAUACCGAAAGCGAAGGCGAUCUCCUGGAACAUUACUGACGCUAAGGCGUGAAAGCGUGGGGAGCAAACAGGAUUAGAUACCCUGGUAGUCCACGCCCUAAACGAUGAACACUAGUCGUCGGGAUGCUUGUCAUCUCGGUGAUGCACUUAACAGAUUAAGUGUUCCGCC